UUUUACAAUUUUUUUUGUUGAACAAUAUUGGAAAUAUCUAAAGUCUUACCUUUUGGUCGAGGUGUCGAAUUCAAAUUAGUAUCUUCUUCCCAAUAAUUUCUCGAUAAUGGAAUAAGUUGGUUCAACUGAGAAGAAACAGGAACAUUACUCGAUGAUGGACGAUUCGGGUCGUUGCUUGUAACAUUAGCCUGAAAAUAAAUGAAGAUAUUCAAAAAAUUAAUAAAUUUAAAAACUAAUUUAAAAACAUUUAUUAAACUCACCUGUAUAUUGUAAAUUAACCGUUGUUCCAGCAUUUUAAAUCGUUUUUCGUUUUCUAUUUCUAACGCUUCCAUUCGUUUAUCAACGGCUUUGGAAACUGCCAAUUCAAAUUUUUCAGUGUUGUGCAUCUCAGUUUCCUCAUUGCUCAUUUUCUUUCUCCUCUUAUUUGCUAACAUAGAGUCAUCGCCAACUCUAAAUCCCAGAAUGCGCCCAUUUUUCUUUCCCUUUGAUGCUUUCAGCCAAGGUCCAAUAUGAUCGUUUUUAAACAGAGGCUUCGUAUGAAAUGUAGUUGAACCUUGAGACGAUAAAUUUUCAUCUUC
Molecule: long non-coding RNA, 578 nt
Filed under: Zostera marina
Lineage: Eukaryota; Viridiplantae; Streptophyta; Magnoliopsida; Alismatales; Zosteraceae
Description: long non-coding RNA (ZMAR_LNC003073)
Source: RNAcentral